This 1469-nucleotide ribosomal RNA is filed under the name metagenome. RNAcentral's name for it is "bacterial LSU rRNA". It matches the Rfam family "Bacterial large subunit ribosomal RNA", at positions 1426 to 2925 of the family's 2925-position model. The record is from RNAcentral.
UAUGUUAAUAUUCAUGGGCCGCCAAAAAUUCGUUUGUACGAUGGAGUGACGCAGAAGUGAAAGGACAGCCAGGUGAUGGAUAUCCUGGUUUAAGGUCGUAGGCUGGUCAGUAGGAAAAUCCGCUGGCUAAGGCCGAAAGCCGAAUACGAGGGCUUAGCCCGCAAAGUGUCCCUAAUCAUGCUGCCAGGAAAAACUUCUAAGGAGAAUUGAGGCGACCGUACCCGAAACCGACUCAGGUGGGCGAGGAGAGUAUCCUAAGGUGCUCGAGAGAACCAAGGUAAAGGAACUCGGCCAACUAACUCCGUAACUUCGGAAGAAGGAGUGCCCGCGCAAGCGGGUCGCAGUGAAGAGGCCCAGGCGACUGUUUACCAAAAACACAGGGCUCUGCGAAGUCGUAAGACGACGUAUAGGGCCUGACACCUGCCCGGUGCUGGAAGGUUAAGGGGAUCUGUCAUGACGCAAGUCGGCAGCAGUGAACCGAAGCCCCAGUAAACGGCGGCCGUAACAAUAACGGUCCUAAGGUAGCGAAAUUCCUUGUCGGGUAAGUUCCGACCUGCACGAAUGGUGUAACGAUCUGGGCGCUGUCUCUACCUUGGACUCGACGAAAUUGCAAUCUCAGUGAAGAUACUGGGUUCCCGCGGCAGGGCGGAAAGACCCCGUGGACCUUUACUAUACCCUGACACUGACAUUUAGCUUCUGAUGUGUAGGAUAGGUGGGAGGCUUUGAAGCUGGCGCGCUAGCGUCGGUGGAGCCAACGUUGAAAUACCCCUUUAGCUGUUGAAUGUCUAACCUAGGAUUAACCAGAGACACUGUCAGGCGGGUAGUUUGACUGGGGCGGUCGCCUCCCAAAAUGUAACGGAGGCGCCCAAAGGUUCCCUCAGCACGGUCGGCAAUCGUGCAUAGAGUGCAAAGGCAUAAGGGAGCUUGACUGCAAGACAUACAAGUCAAGCAGGUAGGAAACUAGGGCUUAGUGAUCCGGCGGUAGUGAAUGGAAAUGCCGUCGCUCAUCGGACAAAAGGUACCCCGGGGAUAACAGGCUUAUCGCCGCCAAGAGUUCACAUCGACGCGGCGGUUUGGCACCUCGAUGUCGGCUCGUCACAUCCUGGGGCUGGAGAAGGUCCCAAGGGUUUGGCUGUUCGCCAAUUAAAGUGGCACGCGAGCUGGGUUCAGAACGUCGUGAGACAGUUCGGUCCCUAUCCGCCGUGGGCGUAGGAAUCUUGAGGAGUGCUGUGCUUAGUACGAGAGGACCGGCAUGGACGAACCUCUGGUGUACCGGUUGUGGCGCCAGCUGCAGCGCCGGGUAGCUAGGUUCGGAUCGGAUAAACGCUGAAAGCAUCUAAGUGUGAAACCGACUCCAAGAUUAGGAUUCCCUGAAGAUCCCUUGAAGAUGACAAGGUUGAUAGGCUACAGGUGUAAGUGCAGUAAUGCAUUCAGCCGAGUAGUACUAAUAGAUCGUUCGGCUUGAUCAA